GUUGGGUGGGGAAGUCAGGAGUGGGGUCUGGCAGCCACACUGACCACUCUAUGCUGGGUCCUACAAACCCAGGAGUCCAAUCCAGGGAUGACUCCAGCCCAAGCACCCAGCACUCAGGACAGUGUUUGGCACAGUCUAUCCCUCUCUUCACGUCUGCCCUGCCCUCAGGCAGCCUUGUGUUGCAGAGGGGCCUCAGAGAGCAGAGCCCAGUUCUCUGAGCAGAUAGGGAAGCUGAGGCUCCCUGCCUGCUACUGGGCACACUGGGGGGGACACUCACCAUCCUGGUGUGGGGGCUUGAAGACAUAACCGUGGUUAUCCAGGCUGCGGCGGUAGAAGCUGGCAUUGAAGGGCUCAGGGUUCUCUGUCCAGUCCUCAGCUGCCCUGGAGCACCCAAGCGGCAGAUUGGCUGGGUGAUGCCUACGUGUUGAGAUCCUGGUCCCUCCACACACGCUCUACCAGCUGCUGCGUGAUGCCCGUGUCCAAGAUCAGGUUGUGCAGAAGAAAGUUGUUGCCUGGAACAGGAGGGGAGGGCUGGGGGUGGGGGUGUCUUCUUGCAGCUCCCUGUCCACUCUCGCCCCCACCCUCAAGGCUCCACCAGGAGCCUCCUCCAUGACCUGGCCCAGGCCCAGCCCUUAGCUUGUGCCUGCUUAUUUCCACACCUCCCCGGCCUCUGGGUUCCUCUGGGCUGGCCCCAUGCUGCCUGGGCACUGCCCAGAGCCAGCUGCUCUGCCAGACACUCACACUGCUUGGAGUCUGGAGUCACUUUCUCCAUGAGCUCAAUAAAGUUUUUCAGGAACUCGG
Chlorocebus sabaeus (green monkey) is the source of this 801-nucleotide non-coding RNA. The record is from RefSeq and is a predicted model, not a curated record. NCBI's taxonomy places the organism in Eukaryota, Metazoa, Chordata, Mammalia, Primates, Cercopithecidae.